This 715-nucleotide ribosomal RNA is filed under the name uncultured bacterium. Its description in RNAcentral is "bacterial SSU rRNA". It matches the Rfam family "Bacterial small subunit ribosomal RNA", at positions 163 to 906 of the family's 1533-position model. The record is from RNAcentral.
CUAAUACCUCAUAUGCUUGAGAGUGAAAUAGAUUUAUCUGCCUAAAGAAAAGCUCGCGGCUGAUUAGCUAGUUGGUAAGGUAAUGGCUUACCAAGGCGACGAUCAGUAUCUGGUUUGAGAGGACGAUCAGACACACUGGAACUGAGACACGGUCCAGACUCCUACGGGAGGCAGCAGUGGGGAAUUUUCCGCAAUGGGCGAAAGCCUGACGGAGCAAUACCGCGUGAGGGAAGACGGCCUAUGGGUUGUAAACCUCUUUUUUCAGGGAGGAAUCAAUGACGUGUACCUGAAGAAUAAGCAUCGGCUAACUCCGUGCCAGCAGCCGCGGUAAGACGGGGGAUGCAAGUGUUAUCCGGAAUCACUGGGCGUAAAGCGUCUGUAGGUGGUUUAAUAAGUCAACUGUUAAAUCUUGAGGCUCAACCUCAAAAUCGCAGUCGAAACUAUUAGACUAGAGUAUAGUAGGGGUAAAGGGAAUUUCCAGUGGAGCGGUGAAAUGCGUUGAGAUUGGAAAGAACACCAAUGGCGAAGGCACUUUACUGGGCUAUAACUGACACUCAGAGACGAAAGCUAGGGUAGCAAAUGGGAUUAGAUACCCCAGUAGUCCUAGCUGUAAACAAUGGAUACUAGAUGUUGAACAGAUCGACCUGCGCAGUAUUAAAGCUAACGCGUUAAGUAUCCCGCCUGGGAAGUAUGCUCGCAAGAGUGAAACUCAAAG